This 135-nucleotide ribosomal RNA is filed under the name Periophthalmus magnuspinnatus. Lineage: Eukaryota; Metazoa; Chordata; Actinopteri; Gobiiformes; Gobiidae. The record is from RNAcentral.
ACUUAAAUCCAUACCACAUUAAGAACACUCGAUCUCGUUUGAUCUUGGAAGCUAAACUGCGUUGGCCAUGGUUAGUACUUGGACCUGAGACCACUAAGACCAGGUGCCACGGUGGGGGAGCAGUGGGUUUAGUUC